RNAcentral lists this ribosomal RNA (253 nucleotides) under uncultured bacterium. Its description in RNAcentral is "partial 16S ribosomal RNA". It matches the Rfam family "Bacterial small subunit ribosomal RNA", at positions 524 to 776 of the family's 1533-position model. The record is from RNAcentral.
GACGAACCUUGCUAACGUUAUUCGGAAUUACUGGGCUUAAAGGGUGCGUAGGCGGUGCAGCAAGUCGGGUGUGAAAGCCCUCAGCUCAACUGAGGAAUUGCGCCCGAAACUGCUGUGCUCGAGGAAUACAGAGGUAUGCGGAACUUAGGGUGGAGCGGUGAAAUGCGUUGAUAUCCUAAGGAACACCGGUGGCGAAAGCGGCAUACUGGGUAUUUUCUGACGCUCAUGCACGAAAGCUAGGGGAGCGAAUGGG